Molecule: unclassified non-coding RNA, 298 nt
Filed under: plant metagenome
Description: partial contains 5.8S ribosomal RNA, internal transcribed spacer 2, and large subunit ribosomal RNA
Rfam family: 5.8S ribosomal RNA (bases 1-105)
Source: RNAcentral
GAAAUGCGAUAAGUAAUGUGAAUUGCAGAAUUCAGUGAAUCAUCGAAUCUUUGAACGCACAUUGCGCCCCCUGGUAUUCCGGGGGGCAUGCCUGUUCGAGCGUCAUUUCACCACUCAAGCCUCGCUUGGUAUUGGGCAACGCGGUCCGCCGCGUGCCUCAAAUCGACCGGCUGGGUCUUCUGCCCCCUAAGCGUUGUGGAAACUAUUCGCUAAAGGGUGUUCGGGAGGCUACGCCGUAAAACAACCCCAUUUCUAAGGUUGACCUCGGAUCAGGUAGGGAUACCCGCUGAACUUAAGC